RNAcentral lists this transfer RNA (74 nucleotides) under Pseudorhodobacter sp. Its description in RNAcentral is "tRNA-Cys". It matches the Rfam family "tRNA". From Rfam's summary of the family: Transfer RNA (tRNA) molecules are approximately 80 nucleotides in length. Their secondary structure includes four short double-helical elements and three loops (D, anti-codon, and T loops). Further hydrogen bonds mediate the characteristic L-shaped molecular structure. tRNAs have two regions of fundamental functional importance: the anti-codon, which is responsible for specific mRNA codon recognition, and the 3' end, to which the tRNAs corresponding amino acid is attached (by aminoacyl-tRNA synthetases). tRNAs cope with the degeneracy of the genetic code in two manners: having more than one tRNA (with a specific anti-codon) for a particular amino acid; and 'wobble' base-pairing, i.e. permitting non-standard base-pairing at the 3rd anti-codon position. The record is from RNAcentral. Lineage: Bacteria; Pseudomonadati; Pseudomonadota; Alphaproteobacteria; Rhodobacterales; Paracoccaceae.
GGCGUCAUGGCAGAGUGGUGAUGCACUGGAUUGCAAAUCCAGGAACCCCGGUUCGAUUCCGGGUGACGCCUCCA